GACGAACGCUGGCGGCGUGCUUAACACAUGCAAGUCGAGCGAGGCCCCUCCUUCGGGAGGGUGUCCUAGCGGCGAACGGGUGAGUAACACGUGGGCAACCUGCCCUCAGCUCUGGGAUAACUCCGGGAAACCGGGGCUAAUACCGGAUACGACCUCCACGGGCAUCUGCGGAGGUGGAAAGUUUUUCGGCUGAGGAUGGGCCCGCGGCCUAUCAGCUAGUUGGUGGGGUAGUGGCCCACCAAGGCGACGACGGGUAGCCGGCCUGAGAGGGCGACCGGCCACACUGGGACUGAGACACGGCCCAGACUCCUACGGGAGGCAGCAGUGGGGAAUAUUGCGCAAUGGGCGAAAGCCUGACGCAGCGACGCCGCGUGAGGGACGAAGGCCUUCGGGUUGUAAACCUCCUUCAGCAGGGACGAAGCGAAAGUGACGGUACCUGCAGAAGAAGCACCGGCCAACUACGUG
This 465-nucleotide ribosomal RNA is filed under the name uncultured bacterium. RNAcentral's name for it is "partial 16S ribosomal RNA". It matches the Rfam family "Bacterial small subunit ribosomal RNA", at positions 28 to 507 of the family's 1533-position model. The record is from RNAcentral.